GCCAGGGUGGCGUAGUGGUCAGCGCAUCUGCUCGGUGAGCAGGAGAUCCGGGUUUGAAUCCCGACCUUGGUA
Schistocerca nitens (vagrant locust) is the source of this 72-nucleotide non-coding RNA. The record is from the annotation of a RefSeq genome assembly. NCBI's taxonomy places the organism in Eukaryota, Metazoa, Arthropoda, Insecta, Orthoptera, Acrididae.